This 451-nucleotide ribosomal RNA is filed under the name uncultured bacterium. RNAcentral describes it as "partial 16S ribosomal RNA". It matches the Rfam family "Bacterial small subunit ribosomal RNA", at positions 28 to 523 of the family's 1533-position model. The record is from RNAcentral.
GAUGAACGCUGGCGGCGUGCCUAAUACACGCAAGUCGAACGAGGUCUUCGGACCUAGUGGCGAACGGGUGAGUAACACGUUGGUACCUACCCCGAAGUGGGGAAUAACUGCCCGAAAGGGUGGCUAAUACCGCAUAAUACCGCAAGGUUAAAGCAGUAAUGCGCUUCGGGAGGGGCCUGCGUCCCAGUAGCUAGUUGGUAGGGUAAUGGCCUACCAAGGCGACGAUGGGUAGCUGGAUCGAGAGGUUGACCAGCCACACUGGGACUGAGAUACGGCCCAGACUCCUACGGGAGGCAGCAGUAAGGAAUCUUCCACAAUGGACGAAAGUCUGAUGGAGCAACGCCGCGUGCAGGAUGACGGCCUUCGGGUUGUAAACUGCUUUUAUACGGGAAGAUCAUGACGGUACCGUAUGAAUAAGGACCGGCUAACUACGUGCCAGCAGCCGCGGUAA